AUGAACGCUGGCGGCGUGCCUAAUACAUGCAAGUCGAGCGAACAGACGAGGAGCUUGCUCCUCUGACGUUAGCGGCGGACGGGUGAGUAACACGUGGAUAACCUACCUAUAAGACUGGGAUAACUUCGGGAAACCGGAGCUAAUACCGGAUAAUAUAUUGAACCGCAUGGUUCAAUAGUGAAAGACGGUUUUGCUGUCACUUAUAGAUGGAUCCGCGCCGCAUUAGCUAGUUGGUAAGGUAACGGCUUACCAAGGCAACGAUGCGUAGCCGACCUGAGAGGGUGAUCGGCCACACUGGAACUGAGACACGGUCCAGACUCCUACGGGAGGCAGCAGUAGGGAAUCUUCCGCAAUGGGCGAAAGCCUGACGGAACAACGCCGCGUGAGUGAUGAAGGUCUUCGGAUCGUAAAACUCUGUUAUUAGGGAAGAACAAAUGUGUAAGUAACUAUGCACGUCUUGACGGUACCUAAUCAGAAAGCCACGGCUAACUACGUG
This 496-nucleotide ribosomal RNA is filed under the name uncultured bacterium. RNAcentral describes it as "partial 16S ribosomal RNA". It matches the Rfam family "Bacterial small subunit ribosomal RNA", at positions 29 to 507 of the family's 1533-position model. The record is from RNAcentral.